GACGAACGCUGGCGGCGUGCUUAACACAUGCAAGUCGAACGGAAAGGCCUCUUUCGGGGGGUACUCGAGUGGCGAACGGGUGAGUAACACGUGAGUAACCUGCCCUUGACUUUGGGGUAACUUCAGGAAACUGGGGCUAAUACCGGAUAGGAGCUCCUGCUGCAUGGUGGGGGUUGGAAAGUUUCGGCGGUUGGGGAUGGACUCGCGGCUUAUCAGCUUGUUGGUGGGGUAGUGGCUUACCAAGGCUUUGACGGGUAGCCGGCCUGAGGGGGUGACCGGCCACAUUGGGACUGAGAUACGGCCCAGACUCCUACGGGAGGCAGCAGUGGGGAAUAUUGCACAAUGGGUGGAAGCCUGAUGCAGCAACGCCGUGUGCGGGAUGACGGCCUUCGGGUUGUAAACCGCUUUCGCUCAUGACGAAGCUUUGUGUGACGGUAGUGGGUAAAGAAGCACCGGCUAACUACGUG
Molecule: ribosomal RNA, 467 nt
Filed under: uncultured bacterium
Lineage: Bacteria
Description: partial 16S ribosomal RNA
Rfam family: Bacterial small subunit ribosomal RNA
Source: RNAcentral